This is a non-coding RNA of Pholiota molesta, 100 nucleotides long. Lineage: Eukaryota; Fungi; Basidiomycota; Agaricomycetes; Agaricales; Strophariaceae. The record is from the annotation of a GenBank genome assembly.
GCCGUGUUGGCGCAGUGGUAGUCGCGUCUCACUUGUACAGUUGCGUAAAUACGCAAUGAAGCACAUGAGAAGGUCAUUCGUUCAAUCCGGGUACUCGGCA